AGCAGCCGCGGUAAUUCCAGCUCCAAUAGCGUAUAUUAAAGUUGUUGCAGUUAAAAAGCUCGUAGUUGAAUUUCGGGAUUAGUGCGCUGGUCAUGCCUUUGGUAUGUACUGGUGUUACUGGUUCCUACCUUCUGAAGAACCGUUAUGUCAUUCAUUUGGUGUGGCGGGGAAUCAGGACUGUUACUUUGAAAAAAUUAGAGUGUUUAAAGCAGGCUCGCGCUUGAAUACAUUAGCAUGGAAUAAUGAAAUAGGACGUUUGACCCUAUUUUGUUGGUUUCUAGGAUCGACGUAAUGAUUAAUAGGGAUAGUUGGGGGCAUUAGUAUUCAAUUGUCAGAGGUGAAAUUCUUGGAUUUAUUGAAGACUAACUACUGCGAAAGCAUUUGCCAAGGAUGUUUUCAUUAAUCAAGAACGAAAGUUAGGGGAUCGAAGACGAUCAGAUACCGUCGUAGUCUUAACCAUAAACUAUGCCGACUAGGGAUCGGAUGAUGUUAUUUUAAUGACUCAUUCGGCGCCUUACGG
Molecule: ribosomal RNA, 520 nt
Filed under: uncultured Glomeromycotina
Lineage: Eukaryota; Fungi; Glomeromycota
Description: SSU rRNA
Rfam family: Eukaryotic small subunit ribosomal RNA
Source: RNAcentral